AAUCCCCCGAAGGACAGCAACAAAUUAAAAACUGCAAAAUCAAAUUGUAAUUUAACACUGUAUGUGGUUUAUUAGACAAGUUAAGACUUCAUUGGUUCUUUGAAGAACCAUCAUAGACGGUUUUCUAAGCAACCAUAUUAGCUACCACUACAAAUCCUCUGUAUCAGCAUUAUAUUUGCAUAACAGUUCAGCUUUAAUAAAUACUACUUGUGAAACUACUAAAAUUUACGGUGAUAGAUACUGUAGAUAACAUUAAUCUCAAAUAUAUUGGUUUUGUAUCCCACAGUGUUAAAAUUGCGCAACACUGGCAUGUCAAUGCUUUGCUUUCACCACAGCACUGGGGUUAAUAUAACUAAACUAUAAACCAAUUUUCAGAGAACUUGCAGCUGAACUAGAGCCUUUUAAUUUUGCUCUCUGGCAUCAGGCCGUCUAUUGAGACCUCAGAGAAACAAGGACUUGUUUUUCAGUAACUUGCAACAAGGCCACUGGGUGUUUUUUUUGUGAAUAGCUAAAAUAUUCCUUUAAAAUGUAUUCAUUUCAUACCUUGGUAAAACAAUCACAUUGCUGUUGUUUGAAUGAUCUAAAUAACUUCUCACAAGUGCUGACAGCCGUUCAGCCAUUUUGCCAGCCAGCCAGCUUCCAUUGCAAAAAGGAAAUUGUCCUUUUUGGAAAAGCAAAACAGAUCUGAAUGGGCAGCAAGAAUCAAUGUUUCUAGCCUAAAGAAAAGGCCAGCUGCCUGCCCCCUACCAUCUAGGCCUAUAAUCUAUAACAACCACUACAUCUGCACGACUACAUCUGCUUUUCUAGCCCCCUUCUGUUU
Molecule: long non-coding RNA, 820 nt
Organism: Sinocyclocheilus grahami
Lineage: Eukaryota; Metazoa; Chordata; Actinopteri; Cypriniformes; Cyprinidae
Exons: 2
Source: RefSeq, a predicted model, not a curated record